RNAcentral lists this ribosomal RNA (402 nucleotides) under bacterium. RNAcentral's name for it is "partial 16S ribosomal RNA". It matches the Rfam family "Bacterial small subunit ribosomal RNA", at positions 355 to 776 of the family's 1533-position model. The record is from RNAcentral.
UGGGGAAUUUUGCACAAUGGGGGAAACCCUGAUGCAGCGACGCCGCGUGAUUUAGAAGGCCUUCGGGUUUUAAAAAUCUUUUUUACGGGAUGAAAAUGACAGUACCGUAAGAAUAAGGUCCGGCUAAAUACGUGCCAGCAGCCGCGGUAAUACGUAUGGACCGAGCGUUGUCCGGAAUCAUUGGGCGUAAAGGGUACGUAGGCGGCCUAAUAAGUUAGAAGUGAAAGAAUAUAGCUCAACUAUAUAAAGCUUUUAAAACUGUUAGGCUUGAGAGAUGAAAGGGAAAGUGGAAUUCCUAGUGUAGCGGUGAAAUGCGCAGAUAUUAGGAAGAAUACCGGUGGCGAAGGCGACUUUCUGGUCAUCAUCUGACGCUGAGGUACGAAAGCGUGGGUAGCAAACAGG